GUCAUCGUUCUCGCCGUGUGCCUGGCUCUGUCAGCUGCCAGCGCCUCUGCUCUGCAGAUGCCCGGGAUGGGGCUGCAGGACUUGUAUGGCGCCGGCGCCCUGAUGACGAUGAUGGGCGCCGGCGGCGGGCUGUACCCCUGCGCCGAGUACCUGAGGCAGCCGCAGUGCAGCCCGGUGGCGGCGCCCUUCUACGCCCUUCGUGAGCAGACAAUGUGGCAGCCAAACUUCAUCUGCCAGCCUCUCCGACAGCAGUGCUGCCAGC
This 262-nucleotide long non-coding RNA is filed under the name Sorghum bicolor (sorghum). RNAcentral's name for it is "long non-coding RNA (SBIC_LNC015278)". Lineage: Eukaryota; Viridiplantae; Streptophyta; Magnoliopsida; Poales; Poaceae. The record is from RNAcentral.